Molecule: ribosomal RNA, 581 nt
Filed under: uncultured bacterium
Lineage: Bacteria
Description: bacterial SSU rRNA
Rfam family: Bacterial small subunit ribosomal RNA
Source: RNAcentral
ACUCCUACGGGAGGCAGCAGUGAGGAAUAUUGGACAAUGGGCGCAAGCCUGAUCCAGCCAUGCCGCGUGCAGGAAGACUGCCCUAUGGGUUGUAAACUGCUUUUAUAUAGGAAGAAACCUUUCCACGUGUGGAAAGCUGACGGUACUAUAAGAAUAAGGAUCGGCUAACUCCGUGCCAGCAGCCGCGGUAAUACGGAGGAUCCAAGCGUUAUCCGGAAUCAUUGGGUUUAAAGGGUCCGUAGGUGGAUAAUUAAGUCAGAGGUGAAAGUUUGCAGCUCAACUGUAAAAUUGCCUUUGAUACUGGUUAUCUUGAAUUAUUGUGAAGUGGUUAGAAUAUGUAGUGUAGCGGUGAAAUGCAUAGAUAUUACAUAGAAUACCAAUUGCGAAGGCAGAUCACUAACAAUAUAUUGACACUGAUGGACGAAAGCGUGGGGAGCGAACAGGAUUAGAUACCCUGGUAGUCCACGCCGUAAACGAUGGUCACUAGCUGUUCGAACUUCGGUUUGAGUGGCUAAGAGAAAUUGAUAAGUGACCCACCUGGGGAGUACGUUCGCAAGAAUGAAACUCAAAGGAAUUGACGG